CAGAAUUCGAGUGUACGUUUUUCGAUUCGUAGGCACAAAGACACGGCCAAUUCCCUGCUAUUUCCGGAGCGAAAAGAAAACCACCGCAUUCACCCGGCACUGUGGGCCAACCUGGAAUGUAUAAACAUCGCCCAUUUCCCCGUAAUCCUCGGUAUACCUCCAGACCUGGAAGGAGGGGACAUGGUUACAAUUGACUGUUGAAGCCUUGAUGUCCUUUAUUCCGAAUUGAAAGGAUGGGCUUUAUCCGUCCAUUAGUGUUGGUAGGUGCGGGUGUCUACAUUGGAUUGGUGAUAGCUAAACAUUAUGAGAUUCCUUUUGAAGUCAGAGAUCCUAAGGAAGCUUAUGACCGGAUUCAACAAUACUUGGAAAAACUGAAGAAGAAUGAUUAAUUCUUGCGCAAAUCUUGGGACUCAUCUUACAGCACAUAGACUCCUUUGGAUUUUGUUAACUAUCAUUUUGUGCGUCACAUUCCCGACUGAUAGAAACUUAUGUUAUUAAUGUCUAUAAUGUGUAAAGGACUUUGACUAUUUUUAUUUGCUGUGCACAGAAACCAUAACUGUUUUAGAGUUAUUAUUUUUUUUGCAUACUGAUUUUUUGUCCGGACUCCGGUGCAUAACUUGAAAAGUCGUUGAGGUAUUAAGGAGAAGCGCAGUGUACAGGAACAGUAACUCUUUCUGCAGUAUUUUAUUUCAGUUAGUGUCCUUGGUUAAUUAUCUGUUAUCCUGUUGUUAGGUGAAGUUUAAACUGUUCUCAGCAGGAGAUAUGGCAGUCUGUGACUGCCCUUGUUUAUUUUGAGGCAGUGAAAUCAGUAACAAUUGUUUCGGGGGAUGGGGGGGGGGUGCAUUUUAUAUAUCAAUAUGUACAUUUUCUACACAUAUGUAUUGUUGCAUCAAAGAAUCUUGUCAUCUUAUUUACAUUGUUUAUUUUGUGAUACAUAAUGUGUGGUGAAAUUUGUGAAUAAAACAUUACAUGUUUA
Mya arenaria is the source of this 976-nucleotide long non-coding RNA. RefSeq lists it as uncharacterized. NCBI's taxonomy places the organism in Eukaryota, Metazoa, Mollusca, Bivalvia, Myida, Myidae. The record is from RefSeq and is a predicted model, not a curated record. The transcript is spliced from 5 exons.